UCAAGAAGAAAAGGGCACAAGGUGGAUGCCUUGGCACAUGAAGACUAAGAAGGACGUAAGUGAACGAAAACUAGGGUAAGCUCACAAAAAGCAAAGACCCCUAGGUCUCCGAAUGGGGAAACCCGGCUGUGGAAGACACAGUCAUCAUAAAGUAAAUACAUAGCUUUAUGAAGUAAGACCCUGCGAACUGAAACAUCUAAGUAGCAGGAGGAAAAGAAAGAAAACUCGAUUUUCCAAGUAGCGGCGAGCGAACAGAAAACAGCCCAACCCAGUAAGAAAUAUAUUUUUUAGUUAAAUCAUUUGGGAAGAUGAACCAAAGAAAGUGACAGUCUUGUAAACAAAAGAAAAUAUAUUGUGGGGGCAAGUAGCAGUGAACACGAGAAAUUUGCUGUGAAGAUAGGGGGACCAUCCCCUAAGGCUAAAUACUAACAUGUGACCGAUAGCGAACAAGUACCGUGAGGGAAAGGUGAAAAGAACCCCGAAAGGGGAGUGAAAAAGAACCUGAAACCUUGAGCCUACAAGCAGACAGAGGGCAAGAGCCUGAUGUCGUACCUUUUGUAGAAUGGGCCAGCGAGUUAUCAUAUAUAGCAAGGUUAAAUCUUUAAGAGAUGAAGCCUUAGCGAAAGCGAGUCUUAAUAGGGCGAAAGUUAGAUAUGAUAGACCCGAAACCGGGUGAUCUAUCCAUGGUCAGAGUGAAGGUGAAGUAAAAUUCACUGGAGGCUCGAACCGGGUGCGGUUUAAAACGCAUCGGAUGAACUGUGGAUAGGGGCGAAAAACCAAACGAACCCGGAGAUAGCUGGUUCUCCUCGAAAUAGCUUUAGGGCUAGCCUAUGACCAAAGAUUUAAGGAGGUAGAGCACUGACUGGCCUAGGGCGGCUAACCGUACCAAAGCCUAUCAAACUCCGAAUGCCAAAAAAUCAAGUCAUGGAGUCAGACUUAGAGGGAUAAGCUCCUAAGUCGAAAGGGAAACAGCCCAGACCGACAGCUAAGGUCCCAAAAUCUGAAUUAAGUGGAAAAGGAUGUGAACCUACUAAGACAACCAGGACGUUGGCUUAGAAGCAGCCAUACAUUUAAAGAAUGCGUAAUAGCUCACUGGUCAAGUGGGUUUGCGCCGAAAAUAAACGGGGCUAAAAUUCAGUACCGAAGCUUCGGAUUGAUAGAGAAUUUAAAAUUGCUCAAUCAACUCUAGAACAAACAUAAAAAGAGAAGAAAAGGUAAAACUUAGACGGAAAUAUUACAAUACAAUCAAGAUAAAACGAGUUAUUCAAAAUUUACGCAAAUAUCAAACACUAAGAUAAAGGUAAGUUGUAAAUAACUACGAUUAUCACCGAAAACAAUCGCAUAUAUUAAUAUAUGUAACUGGUUUAAAAUAUAGUCGGCACUUUGACAAAUCUAAGAUUUGAAACAGUGCGACAUUUGACCUACUAACAAAUCAAAGAUUUGAGUUAGGUCAAGAAAACGUCAAAGUAUUUACCAGCAAUUUUAAAUACUCUAUCAGUGGUAGAGGAGCAUUGUAUUAGGGAAGAAGCCCAAGCGAAAGCAGGCGUGGACUUAAUACAAGAGAGAAUGCUGGCAUGAGUAGCGAGAAGGAGUGUGGGAAUCACUCCCGUCGAAACCCUAAGGACUCCUGAGCAAGGCUCGUCCCCUCAGGGAAAGUCGGGACCUAAGGCGAGGCCAAAAGGCGUAGCCGAUGGAUAACAGGUCUAUAUUCCUGUACCGCUUAAAGUCGCUAUAGAGAAGUGAUGACGCAAGAGGAUAAGCUAAGCUGCCCGAUGGAAGGCAGUCUAAGCACAAAGGCCGAUUAGUAGGCAAAUCCGCUAAUCAUAAAGCUGAUGUGUGAUAGGUAUCGAAAACAUGAGUAGAGAAGUAGCCGAUUUCAAAUUGCCAAGAAAAGUCACUAUCAAUGACCAAAGCGCCCGUACCAAAACCGACACAGGUAGGGAGGUAGAGAAUACCAAGACGCGCGGAAGAACCUUUGUUAAGGAACUCGGCAAAAUGUCCCCGUAACUUCGGGAGAAGGGGAGCCAGAGCGAUCUGGCCACAGAAACCAGGCCCAAGCGACUGUUUACCAAAAACACAAGUUUCUGCAAAAUCGUAAGAUGAAGUAUAGGAGCUGACACCUGCCCGGUGCUGGAAGGUUAAGGGGAAGGCUUAGCAAACGCGAAGGCUAGAACUUAAGCCCCAGUAAACGGCGGCCGUAACUAUAACGGUCCUAAGGUAGCGAAAUUCCUUGUCGGGUAAGUUCCGACCCGCACGAAAGGUGUAACGAUUUGGGCACUGUCUCAACAAAGGAUCCGGUGAAAUUGUAGUAGUCGUGAAGAUGCGACUUACCCACGCUAGGACGGAAAGACCCCGUGGAGCUUUACUGUAGGCUGAUAUUGGAUUUUGAGAUUAGAUGUACAGGAUAGUUGGGAGGCAUUGAUCCGUGCACGCCAGUGUGCGAGGAGCCAAGCUUGGGAUACCAACCCUCUAAUAUCAAAAUUCUAACAUUGACCCUUAAUCAGGGCAAAGGACAUUGUCAGUUGGGCAGUUUGACUGGGGCGGUCGCCUCCCAAAAAGUAACGGAGGCGUUCAAAGGUUCGCUCAGAAUGGACGGAAACCAUUCGCAGAGUACAAAGGCAUAAGCGAGCUUAACUGCGAGAGAAACAGCUCAAGCAGAGUAGAAAUACGGACUUAGUGAUCCGGUGGCACCGCAUGGAAGGGCCAUCGCUCAACGGAUAAAAGCUACCCCGGGGAUAACAGGCUUAUCUCCCCCAAGAGUCCACAUCGACGGGGAGGUUUGGCACCUCGAUGUCGGCUCGUCUCAUCCUGGGGCUGAAGUAGGUCCCAAGGGUUGGGCUGUUCGCCCAUUAAAGAGGCACGCGAGCUGGGUUCAGAACGUCGUGAGACAGUUCGGUCCCUAUCCAGCGUGGGCGUAAGAAAUUUGCGAGGACCUGUCCUUAGUACGAGAGGACCGGGAUGGACAUACCACUGGUGUACCAGUUGUUCCGCCAGGAGCAUAGCUGGGUAGCUAAGUAUGGAAUUGAUAAGUACUGAAAGCAUCUAAGUACGAAACAACCCUCAAGAUAAGAUUUCUAAAAGUACGUAAAGAAAAUACGUUAGAUAGGUCCAAGGUGUAAGUGCAGUAAUGCAUUAAGCUAAUGGAUACUAAACUUUAAAUCUUGACUGG
Molecule: ribosomal RNA, 3169 nt
Filed under: Anaerococcus octavius
Lineage: Bacteria; Bacillati; Bacillota; Tissierellia; Tissierellales; Peptoniphilaceae
Description: bacterial LSU rRNA
Rfam family: Bacterial large subunit ribosomal RNA
Source: RNAcentral